UUUAAAAUGAAAAUUUAAAUUUAAAUUAAUAUAAACUAAGUUAGCUAAAUCAUAAAACUAAAAUAAAACUUGAAAUUACAAACCAUAGGAAUAUAAAAAAAAAUAAAAAAAACUAAGUCAAAUUCUUGCAUCAGUUAUCAAUACAACACUUCUUAACCAAAAAUCAAUUGCAGAAAAAUUAUAGAACAAAAAAAUAGAUAAACCCAAUCUCAGAUACAAAGUUACAAACAAUGUAAAAAAUGAGGAAAAUCCACAACACCAAAACCAAUGAACUCAAACUCAAAGAUUUGAACGAUGUCAGAUAACCAAAAAUCAAAGACACGUUAUUAUCCAAAUGAUUCAAAUAUCCAGCCGUUGCUCAUCCACUUCAUUGCCUCAGAUCUCAGCCCAAUGAUGCCGAACCAGAAACCCACCCCGGCAUCAACUCAUGUCGUCUUUCAAGUCGCCGACGUGAAAGGAGAAGUAGAGGAAAACGAAGGAGAGGGAGGAAUCCAUUCAUCCAACCCAGAUCUAGAGCAUCUCCCUUGCCUAGAUCUCAUCUAAGCGCUGCCUCUAUCGAACCCUCCUCACUUUCGUCCAAGAAUCUGAAGGUCAGCUGGAGAAGAUUGAGGGUAGAGAGGAUGGGGAAGAAGAGAUUUGAUGUGCGUGUGUAUGGGUGAUCAAUUUUUGAUGGGAUGUUUUUCAUAUAGUUUUAUUUAAUUUUAAGAUUUAUUUUAGUCUUAA
Humulus lupulus (European hop) is the source of this 723-nucleotide long non-coding RNA. RefSeq lists it as uncharacterized. The record is from RefSeq and is a predicted model, not a curated record. Lineage: Eukaryota; Viridiplantae; Streptophyta; Magnoliopsida; Rosales; Cannabaceae. The transcript is spliced from 2 exons.